UCAGUCUUAGGGCUUUGCAUAGCACAAAAGAUUUGAGAUCUCUGGAUAAAGCUGAAGGACACUUCUCUAAGGACACAAGCAAUGGCCCUCAGAAACCCAUGAGCCUAGUGUUGAAAAUUAUGUUUUCAAAAUUGACAACAUAUGAGGAGGCAAUCAAAGCAUAUGCAGACAAACAGAUUACCAUCAACUCCACAGAUCUUUCAGUCUAGACUGGAAAAGAGGGAAGAAGAGGAGGAGGAGAGAGAAUGAGACACAGAGAGAUAGACAAGUUAUGGUAAAUUCUGUAAAG
This is a non-coding RNA of Peromyscus maniculatus bairdii (prairie deer mouse), 289 nucleotides long. Lineage: Eukaryota; Metazoa; Chordata; Mammalia; Rodentia; Cricetidae. The record is from RefSeq and is a predicted model, not a curated record.